RNAcentral lists this ribosomal RNA (1320 nucleotides) under metagenome. RNAcentral describes it as "bacterial SSU rRNA". It matches the Rfam family "Bacterial small subunit ribosomal RNA", at positions 152 to 1498 of the family's 1533-position model. The record is from RNAcentral.
GGAAACGACUGCUAAUACCGCAUAAGCCCACGGCUCGGCAUCGAGCAGAGGGAAAAGGAGCAAUCCGCUUUGAGAUGGCCUCGCGUCCGAUUAGCUAGUUGGUGAGGUAAUGGCCCACCAAGGCGACGAUCGGUAGCCGGACUGAGAGGUUGAACGGCCACAUUGGGACUGAGACACGGCCCAGACUCCUACGGGAGGCAGCAGUGGGGAAUAUUGCACAAUGGGGGAAACCCUGAUGCAGCGACGCCGCGUGGAGGAAGAAGGUCUUCGGAUUGUAAACUCCUGUUGUUGAGGAAGAUAAUGACGGUACUCAACAAGGAAGUGACGGCUAACUACGUGCCAGCAGCCGCGGUAAAACGUAGGUCACAAGCGUUGUCCGGAAUUACUGGGUGUAAAGGGAGCGCAGGCGGGAAGACAAGUUGGAAGUGAAAUCCAUGGGCUCAACCCAUGAACUGCUUUCAAAACUGUUUUUCUUGAGUAGUGCAGAGGUAGGCGGAAUUCCCGGUGUAGCGGUGGAAUGCGUAGAUAUCGGGAGGAACACCAGUGGCGAAGGCGGCCUACUGGGCACCAACUGACGCUGAGGCUCGAAAGUGUGGGUAGCAAACAGGAUUAGAUACCCUGGUAGUCCACACUGUAAACGAUGAUUACUAGGUGUUGGAGGAUUGACCCCUUCAGCGCCGCAGUUAACACAAUAAGUAAUCCACCUGGGGAGUACGACCGCAAGGUUGAAACUCAAAGGAAUUGACGGGGGCCCGCACAAGCAGUGGAGUAUGUGGUUUAAUUCGACGCAACGCGAAGAACCUUACCAAGUCUUGACAUCCUGCGACGCACAUAGAAAUAUGUGUUUCCUUCGGGACGCAGAGACAGGUGGUGCAUGGUUGUCGUCAGCUCGUGUCGUGAGAUGUUGGGUUAAGUCCCGCAACGAGCGCAACCCUUAUGGUCAGUUACUACGCAAGAGGACUCUGGCCAGACUGCCGUUGACAAAACGGAGGAAGGUGGGGAUGACGUCAAAUCAUCAUGCCCUUUAUGACUUGGGCUACACACGUACUACAAUGGCGUUAAACAAAGAGAAGCAAGACCGCGAGGUGGAGCAAACUCAGAAACAACGUCCCAGUUCGGACUGCAGGCUGCAACUCGCCUGCACGAAGUCGGAAUUGCUAGUAAUCGCAGAUCAGCGUGCUGCGGUGAAUACGUUCCCGGGCCUUGUACACACCGCCCGUCACACCAUGAGAGCCGGGGGGACCGAAGUCGGUAGUCUAACCGCAAGGAGGACGCCGCCGAAGGCAAAACUGGUGAUUGGGGUGAAGUCGUAACAAGGUA